GAUGAACGCUGGCGGCGUGCUUAACACAUGCAAGUCGAACGAAGCGCCUUGGACAGAUUCUUCGGAUGAAGUCUUUGGUGACUGAGUGGCGGACGGGUGAGUAACGCGUGGGUAACCUGCCUCAUACAGGGGGAUAACAGUUAGAAAUGGCUGCUAAUACCGCAUAAGCGCACGGUACUGCAUGGUACAGUGUGAAAAACUCCGGUGGUAUGAGAUGGACCCGCGUUGGAUUAGCUAGUUGGCAGGGUAACGGCCUACCAAGGCGACGAUCCAUAGCCGGCCUGAGAGGGUGGACGGCCACAUUGGGACUGAGACACGGCCCAGACUCCUACGGGAGGCAGCAGUGGGGAAUAUUGCACAAUGGGGGAAACCCUGAUGCAGCGACGCCGCGUGAGCGAAGAAGUAUUUCGGUAUGUAAAGCUCUAUCAGCAGGGAAGAAAAUGACGGUAC
RNAcentral lists this ribosomal RNA (450 nucleotides) under uncultured bacterium. RNAcentral describes it as "bacterial SSU rRNA". It matches the Rfam family "Bacterial small subunit ribosomal RNA", at positions 28 to 478 of the family's 1533-position model. The record is from RNAcentral.